This is a small nuclear RNA of Vombatus ursinus (common wombat), 200 nucleotides long. Its record names the gene U2. It matches the Rfam family "U2 spliceosomal RNA". Rfam says of the family: U2 is a small nuclear RNA (snRNA) component of the spliceosome (involved in pre-mRNA splicing). Complementary binding between U2 snRNA (in an area lying towards the 5' end but 3' to hairpin I) and the branchpoint sequence (BPS) of the intron results the bulging out of an unpaired adenosine, on the BPS, which initiates a nucleophilic attack at the intronic 5' splice site, thus starting the first of two transesterification reactions that mediate splicing. The record is from Ensembl. NCBI's taxonomy places the organism in Eukaryota, Metazoa, Chordata, Mammalia, Diprotodontia, Vombatidae.
AUAACAUUUUGCAUUGUACCAGGCAGUGAUCGAAUAAAGUCAAAUUAUCUGUUCUUAACAGUUUGAUAUCUGAUGAUCUUUACUGGAAUGUAAAAUAUUAAAUUAAUUUUUGGAACAGAGAAUUGGAAGAGGAACUUGCUCCAUCCAUUCUAUGCAUUAUCUUGGUACAGCAGUAAGUUAUCAAUAACAGUUCAGAGAUG